Molecule: ribosomal RNA, 253 nt
Filed under: uncultured bacterium
Lineage: Bacteria
Description: partial 16S ribosomal RNA
Rfam family: Bacterial small subunit ribosomal RNA
Source: RNAcentral
UACGUAGGCAGCGAGCGUUGUUCGGAGGUACUGGGCGUAAAGAGGGCGUAGGCGGUUUUCUAAGUUUGGUGUGAAAUCUCCCGGCUUAACUGGGAGGGUGCGCCGAAAACUGGAAGGCUUGAGUAUGGGAGAGGUAAGCGGAAUUCCUGGUGUAGCGGUGAAAUGCGUAGAUAUCAGGAGGAACACCUGCGGUGUAGACGGCUUACUGGACCAUAACUGACGCUGAGGCACGAAAGCGUGGGGAUCAAACAGG